This 29-nucleotide non-coding RNA is filed under the name Bombyx mori (domestic silkworm). The record is from RNAcentral. Lineage: Eukaryota; Metazoa; Arthropoda; Insecta; Lepidoptera; Bombycidae.
UGAAAAGUGAAUGAUUCAGUCACCCUUGC